Molecule: ribosomal RNA, 468 nt
Filed under: uncultured bacterium
Lineage: Bacteria
Description: partial 16S ribosomal RNA
Rfam family: Bacterial small subunit ribosomal RNA
Source: RNAcentral
GACGAACGCUGGCGGCGUGCUUAACACAUGCAAGUCGAACGGAAAGUCCCGGCUUUGUGGGGCUGCGCUAGUUACGAACUGGGGAGUUACACGUGAGUAACCUGCCCUUGACUGUGGGGUAUCUUCAUGAAACUUAGUCUAAUAGCGGCUAGGAGCUCCUGCUUCAGGGUGGGGGUGGGUUAGAUUCGGCGGUUGGUGGUGUACUCGCGGCUUAUCAGCUUGUUGGUGGGGUAGUGUCUUACCAAGGAUUUGACGGGUAGCCGGCCUGAGAGGGUGACCGGCGACAUUGGGACUGAGAUACGGCACAGACUCCUACGGGAGGCAGCAGUGGGGAAUAUUGCACAAUGGGCGGAAGCCUGAUGCAGCAACGCCGCGUGCGGGAUGACGGCCUUCGGGUUGUAAACCGCUUUCGCCUGUGACGAAGCGUGAGUGAGGGUAAUGGGUAAAGAAGCACCGGCUAACUACGUG